UAUUUUUUUUACAUAAUUUCUUUAGUUUUGAAUAUUAAAACUAAAAGUUUUGUAAUGGUAUGGUGGGCAAGAAAAUAUGGAAUCUUGCUGAGUUUAGCUCAAACCCAAAGAAAUAUAUUGUUCAAUAUUAUUGCGCAGUAACGCUCAGCUGCAAUAUUUGACAUAGCUGUAAUGUCAUAGUCUUAAAAACUGAAUUUUAAAAGCUUGAAAUUUGUGUGACGGUAGCAAAUUAAGUGGAAACCGGAAAUAGCUAUUUUUAAACUUAAUUGCAAUGAAUGCUUGUACCAUUGUUACAUACUUAUUCGAGUUUCUUCUUCUGUGGUAUAAACCUCAAUAUCAUCCAAGAAUUUAAGCCGCAUCGGAACUUCUAUGGCCUUUUAUAAGAAUUAUGGAUAUACACUGGGAUGUAGCUUUGUUUGCUGAGGGGUUCGCCCUCUACUCUAUAUCAUGUUUAUCGGAAAUUAGAAUAGAAUGGAGGACAUACUAAAUGGUGGUUAGCAGGUUAGGAGAAAAUGUCGGACAGUAGAAGGGUUGUAUCGUUCAGGCGGUAAAUAUUACAUGUGGUGCAUCGUUGAUGUAUUUUAAUUGUAUGUACAUACAUCUAUGAACUUUACGAACUCAUGGAUAAAGAUUACUAGUCGCAACAUAAUGAAAAUAAUCAAGAAUAAUAGUUUUACUCACCUAAUUGUUGUUUGCCACACCUAAGAAUAAGGUUAUAAAUAAUCGAGGAAUAAAUAUAUAUGUAUGUAUCAAGAUGUCUGUCAGUCCUCCUACGUAACUAACUAAUCAACCUGCGAAACUCAGCGAAUCCCUGGGGGAGUCAUAUGUGUGUUUUUACAGUUUCCGAAAAUUGGGCCGGGUCACGAACUUUAGAUGGUUUAAUAAACAAUAAGAGUUAUCCCAACACAACAUUGGAUGUUAUCUACCAUCUUAUGCCAGAUAUAAAUAUGUGAAGGAUCGGCUAUAAAGUAUUUCCAGGAUUUCGACAGAUUGAACACUGCAAAAAAUUCCGACUCCAACCAGGCCUAUAUUCCAUUAAACGCAUCGGAGCAAAAUUUAACCCAACUAGUGACCUUAAUAUAUGGCAAACCCCCUCUAAAAUUACCGAAAACCGUCCAUAAAUGUAUAGCCUUCAUGAAACGAGUAUGUGUCUCCAUUUCCCUGGUUGUCUUUAUAACUAUAGUAGAUUGGUCGAUAUAGAAGAAUGUUUUUAGAAACGUUUUUGACAUCUGAUCUUAAAGCGAAUA
Bactrocera oleae (olive fruit fly) is the source of this 1247-nucleotide non-coding RNA. The record is from RefSeq and is a predicted model, not a curated record. NCBI's taxonomy places the organism in Eukaryota, Metazoa, Arthropoda, Insecta, Diptera, Tephritidae.